GAUGAAGAACGCAGCGAAAUGCGAUAAGUAAUGUGAAUUGCAGAAUUCAGUGAAUCAUCGAAUCUUUGAACGCACCUUGCGCCUUUUGGUAUUCCGAAAGGCACACCUGUUUGAGCGUCAUGAAUACCUCAAUCUCCAUCUUUUCUUCGGAUUGAUGGGUGACUUGGAUGUUGAGCCCUGCUGGUAUGCUAUAUCAGCUGGCUUUAAACUUAUUAGCCGGCUCUGUACUGGAUCGGUUUGACUCGACGUGAUAAUAUUAUCGUUGAGGAUGCAUGACUCAUGCAGCCGGAAAGUAUCAAAGCAGCUUCUAGCUUGCCUUUAGUGCACUUUUACAUUUUAGACCUCAGAUCAGGUGGGACUACCCGCUGAACUUAAGCAUAUCAAUAAGCGGAGGA
RNAcentral lists this unclassified non-coding RNA (395 nucleotides) under soil metagenome. Its description in RNAcentral is "partial contains 5.8S ribosomal RNA, internal transcribed spacer 2, and large subunit ribosomal RNA". The stretch from base 1 to 120 matches the Rfam family "5.8S ribosomal RNA", at positions 35 to 154 of the family's 154-position model. The record is from RNAcentral.